Molecule: transfer RNA, 71 nt
Filed under: Corynebacterium phoceense
Lineage: Bacteria; Bacillati; Actinomycetota; Actinomycetes; Mycobacteriales; Corynebacteriaceae
Also listed under: 1 other name
Description: tRNA-Gln
Rfam family: tRNA
About the family: Transfer RNA (tRNA) molecules are approximately 80 nucleotides in length. Their secondary structure includes four short double-helical elements and three loops (D, anti-codon, and T loops). Further hydrogen bonds mediate the characteristic L-shaped molecular structure. tRNAs have two regions of fundamental functional importance: the anti-codon, which is responsible for specific mRNA codon recognition, and the 3' end, to which the tRNAs corresponding amino acid is attached (by aminoacyl-tRNA synthetases). tRNAs cope with the degeneracy of the genetic code in two manners: having more than one tRNA (with a specific anti-codon) for a particular amino acid; and 'wobble' base-pairing, i.e. permitting non-standard base-pairing at the 3rd anti-codon position.
Source: RNAcentral
UCGCUCAUCGUCUAAUGGCAGGACAUCGGGUUUUGGUCCCGAUAAUCCAGGUUCGAGUCCUGGUGAGCGAG